Molecule: ribosomal RNA, 254 nt
Filed under: uncultured bacterium
Lineage: Bacteria
Description: partial 16S ribosomal RNA
Rfam family: Bacterial small subunit ribosomal RNA
Source: RNAcentral
UACGUAGGGUGCGAGCGUUGUCCGGAAUUAUUGGGCGUAAAGAGCUCGUAGGCGGUGUGUCACGUCGUUCGUGAAAACCUGCAGCUUAACUGUGGGCGUGCGGUCGAUACGGGCAUCACUGGAGUUCGGCAGGGGAGACUGGAAUUCCUGGUGUAGCGGUGAAAUGCGCAGAUAUCAGGAGGAACAUCGGUGGCGAAGGCGGGUCUCUGGGCCGAUACUGACGCUGAGGAGCGAAAGCGUGGGGAGCGAACAGG